This 77-nucleotide transfer RNA is filed under the name Candidatus Liberibacter psyllidaureus. RNAcentral's name for it is "tRNA-Pro". It matches the Rfam family "tRNA". From Rfam's summary of the family: Transfer RNA (tRNA) molecules are approximately 80 nucleotides in length. Their secondary structure includes four short double-helical elements and three loops (D, anti-codon, and T loops). Further hydrogen bonds mediate the characteristic L-shaped molecular structure. tRNAs have two regions of fundamental functional importance: the anti-codon, which is responsible for specific mRNA codon recognition, and the 3' end, to which the tRNAs corresponding amino acid is attached (by aminoacyl-tRNA synthetases). tRNAs cope with the degeneracy of the genetic code in two manners: having more than one tRNA (with a specific anti-codon) for a particular amino acid; and 'wobble' base-pairing, i.e. permitting non-standard base-pairing at the 3rd anti-codon position. The record is from RNAcentral. Lineage: Bacteria; Pseudomonadati; Pseudomonadota; Alphaproteobacteria; Hyphomicrobiales; Rhizobiaceae. RNAcentral also lists the same sequence under 2 other names.
CGGAGUGUAGCGCAGCUUGGUAGCGCAUCUGGUUUGGGACCAGGGGGUCGGGAGUUCGAAUCUCUCCACUCCGACCA